UACGGAGGGUGCUAGCGUUGUUCGGAAUUACUGGGCGUAAAGCGCGCGUAGGCGGCUUUGUAAGUUAGAGGUGAAAGCCCGGGGCUCAACUCCGGAAUUGCCUUUAAGACUGCAUCGCUAGAAUCGUGGAGAGGUGAGUGGAAUUCCGAGUGUAGAGGUGAAAUUCGUAGAUAUUCGGAAGAACACCAGUGGCGAAGGCGACUCACUGGACACGUAUUGACGCUGAGGUACGAAAGCGUGGGGAGCAAACAGG
Molecule: ribosomal RNA, 253 nt
Filed under: uncultured bacterium
Lineage: Bacteria
Description: partial 16S ribosomal RNA
Rfam family: Bacterial small subunit ribosomal RNA
Source: RNAcentral